AACGAACGCUGGCGGCAUGCCUAACACAUGCAAGUCGAACGAGACCUUCGGGUCUAGUGGCGCACGGGUGCGUAACGCGUGGGAACCUGCCCUUAGGUUCGGAAUAACUCCCCGAAAGGGGUGCUAAUACCGGAUAAUGUCUUCGGACCAAAGAUUUAUCGCCUUUGGAUGGGCCCGCGUUUGAUUAGCUAGUUGGUAGGGUAAAAGCCUACCAAGGCGACGAUCCAGAGCUGGUCUGAGAGGAUGAUCAGCCACACUGGGACUGAGACACGGCCCAGACUCCUACGGGAGGCAGCAGUGGGGAAUAUUGGACAAUGGGCGAGAGUCUGAGCCAGCAAUGCCGCGUGAGUGAUGAAGGCCUUAGUGUUGUAAAGCUCUUUUACCCGGGAUGAUAAUGACAGUACCGGGAGAAUAAGCUCCGGCUAACUCCGUG
This 433-nucleotide ribosomal RNA is filed under the name uncultured bacterium. Its description in RNAcentral is "partial 16S ribosomal RNA". It matches the Rfam family "Bacterial small subunit ribosomal RNA", at positions 29 to 507 of the family's 1533-position model. The record is from RNAcentral.